Molecule: ribosomal RNA, 253 nt
Filed under: uncultured bacterium
Lineage: Bacteria
Description: partial 16S ribosomal RNA
Rfam family: Bacterial small subunit ribosomal RNA
Source: RNAcentral
UACAUGGGGUGCAAACGUUGCUCGGAAUUACUGGGCGUAAAGCGUGUGUAGGUGGCCGCGCAAGUCGGAUGUGAAAGCCCUGGGCUCAACUCAGGAAGUGCACCCGAUACUGCGUGGCUCGAGUACCGGAGAGGUUGGUGGAAUUUUCGGUGUAGCGGUGAAAUGCGUAGAUAUCGGAAGGAACACCAGUGGCGAAAGCGGCUUCCUGGUCCAGCACCGACGUUCAGGCACGAAAGCGUGGGGAGCAAACAGG